This 292-nucleotide ribosomal RNA is filed under the name uncultured bacterium. RNAcentral describes it as "partial 16S ribosomal RNA". It matches the Rfam family "Bacterial small subunit ribosomal RNA", at positions 505 to 796 of the family's 1533-position model. The record is from RNAcentral.
GUGUCAGCAGCCGCGGUAAUACGUAGGAUGCAAGCGUUGUCCGGAAUUACUGGGCGUAAAGGGCGAGCAGGUGGCAAGUCAAGUCUGAUGUAAAAUCUCCCGGCUUAACUGGGAGGGGCCAUUGGAAACUGACUAGCUGGAGUGCAGGAGAGGCUAACGGAAUUCCCGGUGUAGUGGUGAAAUGCGUAGAUAUCGGGAGGAACACCAGUGGCGAAGGCGGUUAGCUGGCCUGUAACUGACACUGAGGCGCGAAGGCUAGGGGAGCGAACAGGAUUAGAAACCCCAGUAGUCC